This 333-nucleotide ribosomal RNA is filed under the name Triticum aestivum (bread wheat). RNAcentral describes it as "partial small subunit ribosomal RNA". The record is from RNAcentral. Lineage: Eukaryota; Viridiplantae; Streptophyta; Magnoliopsida; Poales; Poaceae.
AUGAAGUAAAGUAACGGCUUGAAUACCACCGCAUCAAUGUCCUUGAUCUCGAUGCACUGAGAGCUCGUCUCCUUCAUGUGGCCAAAGAACUCGGCCAUCAGUACAGGGGACCUUGCAGCCAGGAUGACCUUGUGUGCAGCGAAGGACUUGCCGGACACGAGAAAUGUGACAUCUGCUUCCAACCCACUGUGCAGGAGCUCAGCAAGGUGCUUCUGCAGACUAGGUGAUGAUCCAGGCACUUCUUUACCUGGCACUGUUGCUGCUCGUGCUGGCAAAUCCUCCUUCAGCACGGUGACGACGCAUAGCACGGUAAAAGAAUCAUUCCUGAGAUAA